RNAcentral lists this ribosomal RNA (253 nucleotides) under uncultured bacterium. RNAcentral describes it as "partial 16S ribosomal RNA". It matches the Rfam family "Bacterial small subunit ribosomal RNA", at positions 524 to 776 of the family's 1533-position model. The record is from RNAcentral.
UACGUAGGGGGCAAGCGUUAUCCGGAUUUACUGGGUGUAAAGGGAGCGUAGACGGUUAUGCAAGUCUGAAGUGAAAGCCCAAGGCUCAACCAUGGGACUGCUUUGGAAACUGUAAAACUGGAGUGCAGGAGAGGUAAGCGGAAUUCCUAGUGUAGCGGUGAAAUGCGUAGAUAUUAGGAGGAACACCGGUGGCGAAAGCGGCUCUCUGGCCUGUAACUGACACUGAGGCUCGAAAGCGUGGGGAGCAAACAGG